AGGUUCCUUUACUGUUUUGAGCCAAGUUUUGCCUAAUCUGUACUUGUACCUACCUUUGAUUUAAUUGAAUUAAGCAUCUUUUCCUUUUCCUUUGGUAGGUAGGUGGGAUAGGAGUAUAGAUGAGAAAAACGUGGCAACAGGAUUCUUCCAAUGAUGUUAGCACUGGGCACAGACUACUAUGAUGAUAACAGUGCCCCCCUUGCCUUUGACAUCUUGGGGGACUGAGGAACAGAAUCCUGGCCUGCCUGUUAAAAUAUUUUGCAGAUACGAUUAUACCAGAUCCUGGAAACAGGAAAUUACUAGCAAACCAAACGCAAGUCCAGAUGUUUCUGCAAAUGGAAGACAGGAGGCCAUUCUACAUGUGGAAUGGUUGAAGUUUCUGGACAUCAAAUAAACAAAGAGACCUCUUUUCCAAAAUGCAGCCUGCCUCAGACUUCAUUCUCUGCCUGCAUUCUCCUCCUGGCUUGGAAUAAGAAAUAAACCAGAUUUAACCUCCAACAGAACCUGACAAAGGGAAGAAUUGGCAGAACAGAGAGGGAGAUGAUCUGCGCUUUGCCUCCUGGAAUGGACUGGCCUGUUGAUUCCUCCUUUUCCUAGUGUUCCUUCUCCAAAUGUCUUGCUUUUGAGAGACAGGAUCUCAUAGUGGAAGGUGAGAUGUUACACAGUUGCUGGCAGGCUUUAAUGUGAGCCAGCUCUUCUGGAACGUAUGCAGUGUAGCCUACUAGGACCCUUAAAAGGCUGUUGCCUGCCCACCUUUUAACGAGAGCAUUGAGGAAGCCUGCAUAGAAGACCUUCUUCCCCAAGAAGAAAUGCAGUUCAGAAAUUUUCCUGGAUCCAAUGUUUGCGAUGGGAGGGAUUUGGCAUUGUUUGUCCAUUAUGUCUCUUAUUCUGUUUUUCAUGCAGAAGUGAGAGGCUUACUUACCAGAUCCUGAUUAGAAAGCAGUGGGAGGUUUACUUACUCUCUUACUCAAUAAACAUUUCAUUAAUUGGUGAAUAA
Molecule: long non-coding RNA, 997 nt
Organism: Pantherophis guttatus
Lineage: Eukaryota; Metazoa; Chordata; Lepidosauria; Squamata; Colubridae
Source: RefSeq, a predicted model, not a curated record